UGCAGUCGAACGGCAGCACAGGAGAGCUUGCUCUCUGGGUGGCGAGUGGCGGACGGGUGAGGAAUACAUCGGAAUCUACUCUGUCGUGGGGGAUAACGUAGGGAAACUUACGCUAAUACCGCAUACGACCUACGGGUGAAAGUGGGGGACCGCAAGGCCUCACGCGAUUGAAUGAGCCGAUGUCGGAUUAGCUAGUUGGCGGGGUAAAGGCCCACCAAGGCGACGAUCCGUAGCUGGUCUGAGAGGAUGAUCAGCCACACUGGAACUGAGACACGGUCCAGACUCCUACGGGAGGCAGCAGUGGGGAAUAUUGGACAAUGGGCGCAAGCCUGAUCCAGCCAUACCGCGUGAGUGAAGAAGGCCCUCGGGUUGUAAAGCUCUUUUGUUGGGAAAGAAAUCCUGUCGGUUAAUACCUGGCAGGGAUGACGGUACCCAAAGAAUAAGCACCGGCUAACUUCGUGCCAGCAGCCGCGGUAAUACGAAGGGUGCAAGCGUUACUCGGAAUUACUGGGCGUAAAGCGUGCGUAGGUGGUUGUUUAAGUCUGUCGUGAAAGCCCUGGGCUCAACCUGGGAAUUGCGAUGGAUACUGGGCAACUAGAGUGUGGUAGAGGGUGGCGGAAUUCCCGGUGUAGCAGUGAAAUGCGUNGAGAUCGGGNNNNACAUCCGUGGCGANGGCGGCCACCUGGGCCAACACUGACACUGA
Molecule: ribosomal RNA, 703 nt
Filed under: Pseudoxanthomonas sp.
Lineage: Bacteria; Pseudomonadati; Pseudomonadota; Gammaproteobacteria; Lysobacterales; Lysobacteraceae
Description: bacterial SSU rRNA
Rfam family: Bacterial small subunit ribosomal RNA
Source: RNAcentral